This 349-nucleotide unclassified non-coding RNA is filed under the name soil metagenome. RNAcentral describes it as "partial contains 5.8S ribosomal RNA, internal transcribed spacer 2, and large subunit ribosomal RNA". The stretch from base 1 to 120 matches the Rfam family "5.8S ribosomal RNA", at positions 35 to 154 of the family's 154-position model. The record is from RNAcentral.
GAUGAAGAACGUAGUGAAAUGCGAUAAGUAAUGUGAAUUGCAGAAUUCAGUGAAUCAUCGAAUCUUUGAACGCACAUUGCGCCCAUUAGUAUUCUAGUGGGCAUGCCUGUUCGAGCGUCAUUUCAACCCUUAAGCCUAGCUUAGUGUUGGGAGACUGCCUAAUACGCAGCUCCUCAAAACCAGUGGCGGAGUCUGUUCGUGCUCUGAGCGUAGUAAUUUUUUAUCUCGCUUCUGCAAGCCGGCCAGACGACAGCCAUAAACCGCACCCUCUCGGGGGGCACUUUUUUAAUGGUUGACCUCGGAUCAGGUAGGAAUACCCGCUGAACUUAAGCAUAUCAAAAGCGGAGGA